Molecule: long non-coding RNA, 199 nt
Organism: Papilio polytes (common Mormon)
Lineage: Eukaryota; Metazoa; Arthropoda; Insecta; Lepidoptera; Papilionidae
Exons: 2
Source: RefSeq, a predicted model, not a curated record
UGGGCGCGCGCCGCGCUGUCAUAAAGACGUGUGUGUUGAAUCGCGCCAUUUUUACGACUUAAAAUACAAAGUUCGGAAAUUAGUGCAAGUGAUUGUGUUGUGUUUGAAAGAUAAGCCUGUAAGGAAACUACUGGCACAUGAUAAAGUUGCAUAAAAAGCGAACCGAAUUCGAAAUUCAAAAUAUUUUAUUCUGCUCAAA